ACGGUUACCUUGUUACGACUUAGCCCCAGUCACCGGUUUUGCUCUAGGGCGCGCCUCGCGGCGACGCACUUCAAGCACCCCCGGCUCCCAUGGCUUGACGGGCGGUGUGUACAAGGCCCGGGAACGUAUUCACCGCGCCAUGGCUGAUGCGCGAUUACUAGCGAAUCCAGCUUCACGGAGUCGGGUUGCAGACUCCGAUCCGAACUGAGACCGGUUUUCGGGUUCCGCUCGGCGUCGCCGCCUGGCUUCCCGCUGUACCGGCCAUUGUAACACGUGUGUCGCCCCGGACGUAAGGGCCGUGCUGAUUUGACGUCAUCCCCGCCUUCCUCGCGGCUUGCGCCGGCAGUCCCGACAGAGUCCUCGGCUCUACCCGUUAGCAACUGUCGGCAGGGGUUGCGCUCGUUAUGGCACUUAAGCCGACACCUCACGGCACGAGCUGACGACAACCAUGCAGCACCUCGGAAAACGUCCGUGGAAGAGGG
This 482-nucleotide ribosomal RNA is filed under the name uncultured bacterium. RNAcentral describes it as "partial 16S ribosomal RNA". The record is from RNAcentral.